This 465-nucleotide ribosomal RNA is filed under the name Vreelandella stevensii. Its description in RNAcentral is "partial 16S ribosomal RNA". It matches the Rfam family "Bacterial small subunit ribosomal RNA", at positions 338 to 795 of the family's 1533-position model. Lineage: Bacteria; Pseudomonadati; Pseudomonadota; Gammaproteobacteria; Oceanospirillales; Halomonadaceae. The record is from RNAcentral.
CCUACGGGUGGCAGCAGUGGGGAAUUUUGGACAAUGGGCGAAAGCCUGAUCCAGCCAUGCCGCGUGUGUGAAGAAGGCCUUCGGGUUGUAAAGCACUUUCAGUGGGGAAGAAAGCCUUGGGGCUAAUACCCUCGAGGAAGGACAUCACCCACAGAAGAAGCACCGGCUAACUCCGUGCCAGCAGCCGCGGUAAUACGGAGGGUGCGAGCGUUAAUCGGAAUUACUGGGCGUAAAGCGCGCGUAGGCGGUCUGAUAAGCCGGUUGUGAAAGCCCCGGGCUCAACCUGGGAACGGCAUCCGGAACUGUCAGGCUAGAGUGCAGGAGAGGAAGGUAGAAUUCCCGGUGUAGCGGUGAAAUGCGUAGAGAUCGGGAGGAAUACCAGUGGCGAAGGCGGCCUUCUGGACUGACACUGACGCUGAGGUGCGAAAGCGUGGGUAGCAAACAGGAUUAGAUACCCGAGUAGUC